Molecule: unclassified non-coding RNA, 20 nt
Filed under: Dictyostelium discoideum
Lineage: Eukaryota; Evosea; Eumycetozoa; Dictyosteliales; Dictyosteliaceae
Source: RNAcentral
GAAGGACGCAACUUGUGAAU